Molecule: long non-coding RNA, 1094 nt
Organism: Cyprinus carpio carpio
Lineage: Eukaryota; Metazoa; Chordata; Actinopteri; Cypriniformes; Cyprinidae
Source: Ensembl
UGCCAUGUGCCGAUGAACGGAGACAUAGGUGGCAGAAGCUACAUCUUGUUUGUCUCCUUUAUUUCAUAAAAGCACAACAUUUUCUUGAUAUUGUGGGUGUACACAAAUUAAUGUAGACCCUUUACAGUUUAAAAUGAUGUUACUUUUACCUGUAUGAGCAAAAAUGACAGCAUAUUUUAAGUUGUUUCCGCUGUUCUCAGAAAAAAUGCCAGUGAUUGCGCAGGUGCCUCCAUGUCAUGCAGUAAACGUCUCAGGUUACUCACAUAACCCAUGUUCUCUGAACACCCCUUGGGUUUGCCGAUUGUCUGAAGCCUGUAAGGAAUCAUGCCAAUUCAUUGGCUGAUGGCACGGGGCGUCACCCCAAUGUCACUACUAGGUCAUCAUAAUACUGGUGAAUGUGCCAUCCGCUCCUAAGAUUUUCUGCCAAAGAAGUCCUGUCAGCAGUGCAAGGAGCUGGGCAGUGAAUGCAGUGUCUCGUUCCCUUUUUAGAGAACAUGGGAACUUCGAGUAACCCAAGAUGUUCUCUUUCAUAGGUUCACUCAUUGCUGUGUGGCUAUGACGCAGUGGGAACAAUAUACCACUCCCGCCAAGCUAAGCACUGCCAUAUCUGGCCUGAUGCAAAAUAGACUAGGCUAACCUCAAAUGGCUUUGGAGAGGAGAGGAGAGGAGAGGAGAGGAGAGGACCAUCUUGACGCCACACAGAUAUCUUCCAACUUCUCUGAAAAGAGCUUGAGAGGAAGCAACACUCCUGGUAGAAUGAGCCUCAUAUGCUAGUGAGACAGCAUCCCUUACCCAAUGAGAAUUGCAUGGAAAAACAGUAUGUCCAACUACAGACAGGCUCUAAAAGCUGCCAUGGGCCGAGCAUAUCCACAAACUCAUAGAAAAUAACCAAAACAAUCCAAGGUUUUUGUUUAGCACAGUGGCUAGAUUAACGAAUAACCAGACGCUACCCGAUCUGAAGAAUCAGAAGAACCGCUUCUCACUAUUAUUAACUUGUUAUCUCUAGGUCACAACCCAAAACAAUUCAAGCUGGCGGUUAUUAAGCCUCUUAUUAAGAAACCACAACUAGAUCCUAGUAAUCUGGCAAAUUACAG